This is a non-coding RNA of Protopterus annectens (West African lungfish), 547 nucleotides long. The record is from the annotation of a RefSeq genome assembly. Lineage: Eukaryota; Metazoa; Chordata; Ceratodontiformes; Protopteridae.
GGGUGUCACCUGAGGAUACUUAAGGAUGACAUUCAGCCGUACCUGCUGCCAUUAAAUGAAACAACGCAACUUCAUGCUGCAACCCACAAUGUGUCCUUUAAUGAUGUGUUUAGUGUUAGUUUUAUUUAUGUUCAUGCCAGAUUUCAGUUUUUGCGAUUCAGUUAAACAAAAUAAAAGACAAAUGAUUUCCAAGGAAGGAGAGGAAGUAACACUUUGGUGCACGUACGAAAGCAGCAAUCAGUACAUACACCUUUACUGGUACCGUGUGUAUCAGAACCGGGCAUUUCAGUACAUUCUGUACAAGGGAGCCAGGUCCCGGUCUGGAUACGAUAACACCGCAGAGUUUGCUAAACAGAGGUUUUCUUCAAGGGCAGAUAGUAAAAGCACAACCCUGACCAUCACCCAGACCUCACUGUCUGAUUCUGCUACGUAUUACUGCGGCCUUAUUGAUCAACGCACAGUGUGGGAAUGUAAUGAGAAACCUGUACAAAAACCAAAUAGUGCGGUAGCUGGUGAUUUUCCAGAAAGGUCUGAUUAUUUUAUUUAG